This 73-nucleotide transfer RNA is filed under the name Minisyncoccota bacterium. Its description in RNAcentral is "tRNA-Val". It matches the Rfam family "tRNA". Rfam says of the family: Transfer RNA (tRNA) molecules are approximately 80 nucleotides in length. The record is from RNAcentral. Lineage: Bacteria; Bacillati; Minisyncoccota.
GGGCGAUUAGCUCAGUUGGUAGAGCAGCGCUUUUACACAGCGAAGGUCGGGGGUUCGAAUCCCUCAUCGCCCA